Molecule: transfer RNA, 63 nt
Filed under: Varanus niloticus (Nile monitor)
Lineage: Eukaryota; Metazoa; Chordata; Lepidosauria; Squamata; Varanidae
Description: tRNA-Lys
Source: RNAcentral
CUCUGAGAAGCUUCCUAAAGCAUUAGCCUUUUAAGCUGAAGAAGGGCCAAAACCCCUCAGUGC